Long non-coding RNA from Drosophila simulans, 549 nucleotides. RefSeq lists it as uncharacterized. The record is from RefSeq and is a predicted model, not a curated record. NCBI's taxonomy places the organism in Eukaryota, Metazoa, Arthropoda, Insecta, Diptera, Drosophilidae. The transcript has 2 exons.
CGCUGAAAAAAACUUCAAAUAAAAAUAUUUUGAAAUAGUUGCAUUUUGUGCUACUUACUUGCAAUAUACGAACCUUAAAGCAGUCGCUAAAUUUUUAACGAUUCAAAAUUAAAAAAUUAACUGAACAGAAACGCAAUAGAAUAACAACAAUGCAUCACCCUUCUUUUUUUGCUUCUAUACUUUUAGUGAGUACCGCUAGUUUAAAAUGUACUUGACCUUCUUUCUAUUGUUAUCGAUAAUAUAGUGUCCGGUGAUGUAAAAAAAUACACACUUUUACAGAAAUGAUUUCAUCAACUCAAUAAUUCUUAUAUUGUUGUGAUUUUUAUUUUCAUAUUUGUACGACGUAUGUUAGAAAAUACGUGGUUUUAUUGUAUCGCUAUCGCACUCCUAACUAUCAGCGCAUGUUCAGCAAAAUUGGUCUCCCUUGCACAAAAUCGCGUUCGUUCUAUUUACUCGCACACAUUGAUAUUAUAUACGAGUACAUAUGCCAAGAAACUGUUUACACACUGUGAAAAAAUUUGACUUUUUGACUUUAAAGGUAAAAAUAAA